CCAAAACUUAAAAAUUAACAGAAGACUGAAUUAAUUAAAAAAAAAGCAUACUAACUAAUCAAAACAAUCCACUGUGCAAUGAAUAUUUGAACAAUGAAAAAAACCUACCAAGCAUCCUAAUCAAUUAUAUAGUUCUUGCUUCCAUAUUUUAAUUCUGGACUUUCAGGAUGGUAAAUUAUUAAACAGGUCGAUUUCAUGGACUGUCUAAACCUUGUAGUAUUUCAAAAUAUUACCCUUUCUAAACCAAAUCUGUGGUCCUAAUCAACUUUUUUUCCAAGAAAAAGAAACGAUAUGUGUUUAAAAUACAUUCCGUAGCAGUAGAAACAUCUUAGUGUCUCAAAAUACUAUUUACAAAGAACCCUGCUGAUCCUGUGCAUUUCGCUGAGGUGCUACUUGCACCCAGACUUCAUCAUCUGAAAAAGAACUUGAACUUCCUGACUCAGAGUCCAGCUCACUGAAUCCAUCUAAGUCCCAUUCAGUACUAGACUCACUCCGUGCAUCAUCUUCCUCAGUAAUAAAACUCUGACCAGGUUCAAGGCAGGAAGGAUAAACACGAGCACAAAGGCAAAUAAAGCCAGAGUCAAACUGCAAAAGGCCUAACAUGGUACCUAUAUUAAUCCACUGAUCUUCCCUAGUAUCAUACUCAUACACUGUCACUCGGUUCUUUUUCCAUUGUGGGGUUGUAGAAGUGAUGAGAAGCAACUUUUGGUCAUGAUUGACAAUCUGGUAGUUGUGGGUCUCUGAAUCCAAAGGAAUAUUACUAAUCCGCCUCCAUUCUCCCCUAGCUGGGUUGUAGACCUUCAUGACUGGGAUGUCACAGAUACAAUAGAUUUCAUCAUUGAAGACACAUGCUUCCUGAAAGUCACUACGUUUAAGAGAAGCACAGUUCAGCCACAUAUUGUGGCUAGGAUCAUAGCAAAGCAUGCGCUUACUGUUGACAGCAUAAAGAUAGUUCUGAACCACUAUGAGUUCAAAGGAAUAGAAGGAAUGAGGGACAGGAGCCACCAAUGCCCACUGGUUUCUCUGAACACUGUAGCAUUCCACUUCCUUCAACUUAACUCCAGUAAUAGGGUCUCGUCCCCCCAAAAUGUAGAUGUAGCCAUUGAGAUAUGCCACAUCCAUGCCCUCACGACACAGCAAGCGAUCUGCAAGUUGCUGCCAACUAUUCUGAGCUGGUUUAUACACCCAGAGGUCUUUCCUGGGCUGAGCAGCUAGAUAGAUGUCAUGGUCUGGGGACACACAGACAGCUGAGGAGGUGACAGUCUUAGUGUGAGCAAAGCUGGUCAAAGGGGAUGGCAUUGUGUAAAUGUCCCCCGAGUAAGGGUCAUAGCAGAGAAAGGGAUCUCUAGGAUGUCCAAAGAAGAUCACCAUCUCCUUGGCACACAUACCCAGUCUCUGGGGUGGAUUUUCUGCUGCAGAUACAAGAGAGUUGCUGCUGCUACUGCUGCUGCUGCUGUUUGGCACUGGCACCAGAGACUUGUACAACAGGUCACCAUAGCGCAUCUGCAGGGCCCCUUCAAUAACGUCCAGGCAGUACUUCUUCACGAUGGGCUUGGUCAGCAGCCCUUCUAAGUAGUCCUGAUCUUCUUCAGUGAAGUGCAUCCAGCGCACGCACUUGAAGACUUCUGCAGCACUGGGACCCCGCUCUUUGGCAGCAGCCUCCAGCCACUGCACAGCUACAUGGCAUACAGUCCGCUCACUCUCUAUGUCCAGACUAUCCAGGCGUAGGACAGCCAGCAGCUGGGCCAGGGUUAGAUCUGCUAGAGUCUCCUCCCGAAUUGAACCCAUUCGGCUGAGCUGCUUGAAGUUGUGAGCUAUGUAGGACUGGGCCUGAGAUCGAAGCUUGUGAUGGUCGAAGGCGUCUGCAAACUUGAGGAUGGCGGUGCAGUUGGUCAGGUCAAGACGUCGGGCUAAGAAGGAGGCACAGGCUUCCCGCACAUAUUCCAGCUGUAGCAUGUCGGAGGCCGCGUACAGGCGCUGCACAUUGGCCUCACUGAGAGACACACGACCCGUGUAGCAGUAGUCGACCAACACCUCGAAGGACUCGGCGUCCACAUCGUGCAUGGUCACGCUGGCCUGCUGGCUCUCGUACAUGCCACCUGUGAACAUGCUCUUGAAGUAGGGACACGCAGCUGCUAGCACGUUGCGAUUGCAGGAAAAGAGGCGACCCGUGCCAGGCCCGCUGCCAGGCGUCACCACCUCGAUGGUCACAUCACACAGCAGCCGCGCGUCGUAGAAGGACUUGAGCUGUGCCAGCAGGGCUGCAGAAUGGGCUUGGAAAUCCUCUUGGGCCGCCUCCCUUUAUUGCAUAGACAGUGGCUGACUCACCCUCUCUCACUCCCGCGCCCUUU
RNAcentral lists this long non-coding RNA (2351 nucleotides) under Homo sapiens (human). RNAcentral's name for it is "HSALNT0200526". The record is from RNAcentral. Lineage: Eukaryota; Metazoa; Chordata; Mammalia; Primates; Hominidae.